GUGUUGCGUAGGCCAAAGCAGGGAGGGGCAGGGCGUCGGCGACGCGACCUUCCCAACAUGGCGCCCAAUUGGCGUGCAUGAAGGCGGGUCUGGCAGGUCGCUGAGGCCAAUGGCGGACCGCAUGAGGCGGUGGGGCGGGGAGGAAGGCCGCUGUUCGCCCAACCCAAAGCUCCGGUGGCGGCUGAGGAGUGAAUCUUCUGGAAGGCGACUUUAAAGGCGCCGGGCCGGAGCGAAGGGCGUCUCGGGGCCGCGCCAGCCAGGGAGGGAGGGCGCGUUUGGUGGCAGGAAACGCGAGCCGCGUCGGGGUCGGGGCGGAACCGGACGGCGAGCGGCUCACGAUGAACCACAAGAGCAAGAAGCGCAUCCGCGAGGCCAAGCGAAGUGCGCGGCCGGAGCUCAAGGACUCGCUCGACUGGACCCGGCACAACUACUACGAGAGCUACCCGCUGAACCCCGCGGCCGUGCCGGAUAACGUGGAGAGAGCUGAUGCCUUACAGCUGUCGGUGAAAGAGUUCGUGGAGCGCUACGAGAGGCCUUACAAGCCCGUGGUUCUGCUCAAUGCACAAGAGGGCUGGUCCGCACAGGAGAAAUGGACUCUGGAGCGCCUCAAAAGGAAAUACCGGAACCAGAAGUUCAAGUGCGGCGAGGAUAAUGACGGCUACUCGGUUAAGAUGAAGAUGAAGUACUACAUCGAGUACAUGGAGAGCACCCGCGAUGACAGUCCCCUUUACAUCUUCGAUAGCAGCUAUGGCGAACACCCCAAAAGAAGGAAACUUUUGGAAGACUACAAGGUGCCCAAGUUUUUCACAGAUGAUCUUUUCCAAUACGCGGGGGAGAAACGCAGACCCCCUUACAGGUGGUUUGUGAUGGGGCCACCGCGUUCUGGAACUGGGAUUCACAUCGACCCUCUGGGGACCAGUGCCUGGAAUGCCUUAGUUCAGGGUCACAAGCGGUGGUGCCUCUUCCCAACAAACACACCCAGAGAACUCAUCAAGGUGACCCGAGAAGAAGGAGGGAACCAACAGGAUGAAGCAAUUACCUGGUUUAAUGUCAUCUAUCCCCGGACACAGCUUCCAACCUGGCCACCUGAAUUCAAACCCCUGGAGAUAUUACAGAAACCAGGAGAAACUGUCUUUGUACCAGGGGGCUGGUGGCAUGUUGUCCUCAACCUUGACACCACCAUUGCCAUCACCCAGAACUUUGCCAGCAGCACCAACUUCCCUGUUGUGUGGCACAAGACGGUAAGAGGGAGACCAAAGUUAUCAAGGAAGUGGUAUAGAACAGAUACAGCACGGGCAGCGGCAGUGCAAGCCACCCCCAGCCACCCCGUGCCACUGUGUCCCAACCCUGACCUGGAGGGACCAGCUCUCGGGGUAAGAGAGGGAUUCUGGCUUGCUCAGUGCGCUGCCUCCCUGCUGAGAGGCCAGCAAGGGUGGUGGCUGCUAUUCCCCUGACUCUCGGGCAUGAGGUCUACUUACUCUGCCCUGUAGGCCACUGUGCUGCAGAGAGGCCACUCCAAGGCCACAGCAUACAGCAGGUCCUUUGUCGCUGGUCACAGUGGAUGCCAGGUUAGGUUGCUGCUGGGGAGGGCUACUGCUAUUAGUCAGCUCAGUUUCUCUUCUGAGUGAAGGGGUGGUCUCUUUGUGUGACAGCUUAUUUCUUAUGACUCUAAUUAUCUCUGCUCUUACUAGUAUAAUCUAACCAGCUCCCAACCCCCCUCACUAGCACUGUGCUUUGGGAAGGAAAGGCUUUUUUCAAAAAAAAAAAAAGGAAAAGGAAAAUGAGCCAGAAAAGGUUUAGGGAGAAAAGUAGGAAAGGGGCUGUUUGUCUCAAGGCAAGAACCUUAAGGACCUCGGCCUCCAGAGGUGUGUGGCUGGUGCUCACAGGCGCGUGGCUCUAGAAUGUUGUUUUCCUUCAGCGAGUGUGGACAGCCUGUGUGGUCUGUCCCAGCCCAGUGGUGCCACCUGGAGCCACUUCCAGGUGCUGUAAGCAAUGGAGGCCUUCUCUCUGAGUCCAUGUCACCGUGAGCGGGUGCUGCCAGCAGCUGUCACAGCCCUGAGAACAUUGCCUCUUGCCCUUCAGGAUCUUGAAACAGGAGCACCCUGAGCUGGCAGUCCUGGCCGACGCAGUUGACCUCCAGGAGUCCACAGGCAUUGCCUCUGACAGCUCCAGCGACUCUUCUAGCUCCUCUAGUUCCAGCUCGUCAGACUCGGACUCAGAGUGUGAAUCUGGGUCAGAAGGUGAUGGGACGACACACCGCAGGAAGAAGAGGAGAACCUGCAGCAUGGUGGGAAAUGGGGACACUACCUCCCAGGAUGACUGUGUGAGCAAAGAGCGCAGCUCCUCCAGGUGACCACAUGUGGCCGCUGUCUGUGCCAGGAUAUGCUCGCAGCCAGGCUUGGGGGGCUGACACCCAGAGAACAAGGACACUCAGAUGGGAGUUGGUAGUACGUGGUACAGUGGCUUUUCUCUGUGGUCAUGUCUUAGGGGCAAAGGCGUGUGGAUGGUGCCAAUGAAACCCUUUACCUAUUUAAUAAAAACGGAUACAUUUUA
Mus musculus (house mouse) is the source of this 2553-nucleotide RNA transcript. It is a transcript of the gene named jumonji domain containing 6, with no coding region annotated. The transcript has 6 exons. NCBI's taxonomy places the organism in Eukaryota, Metazoa, Chordata, Mammalia, Rodentia, Muridae. The record is from RefSeq and is marked validated.